AGUCGAACGGUAACGCGGGGCAACCUGGCGACGAGUGGCGAACGGGUGAGUAAUAUAUCGGAACGUGCCCAGUAGUGGGGGAUAGCCCGGCGAAAGCCGGAUUAAUACCGCAUACGACCUAUGGGUGAAAGCGGGGGAUCGCAAGACCUCGCGCUAUUGGAGCGGCCGAUAUCAGAUUAGGUAGUUGGUGGGGUAAAAGCCUACCAAGCCGACGAUCUGUAGCUGGUCUGAGAGGACGACCAGCCACACUGGGACUGAGACACGGCCCAGACUCCUACGGGAGGCAGCAGUGGGGAAUUUUGGACAAUGGGGGCAACCCUGAUCCAGCCAUGCCGCGUGCGGGAAGAAGGCCUUCGGGUUGUAAACCGCUUUUGUCAGGGAAGAAAUCUUCUGAGUUAAUACCUCGGGAGGAUGACGGUACCUGAAGAAUAAGCACCGGCUAACUACGUGCCAGCAGCCGCGGUAAUACGUAGGGUGCGAGCGUUAAUCGGAAUUACUGGGCGUAAAGCGUGCGCAGGCGGUCUUGCAAGACAGGUGUGAAAUCCCCGGGCUUAACCUGGGAACUGCACUUGUGACUGCAAGGCUGGAGUACGGCAGAGGGGGAUGGAAUUCCGCGUGUAGCAGUGAAAUGCGUAGAUAUGCGGAGGAACACCGAUGGCGAAGGCAAUCCCCUGG
This 675-nucleotide ribosomal RNA is filed under the name uncultured Aquabacterium sp. RNAcentral describes it as "bacterial SSU rRNA". It matches the Rfam family "Bacterial small subunit ribosomal RNA", at positions 60 to 732 of the family's 1533-position model. The record is from RNAcentral. Lineage: Bacteria; Pseudomonadati; Pseudomonadota; Betaproteobacteria; Burkholderiales; Sphaerotilaceae.